UCGUGUCGUGAGAUGUUGGGUUAAGUCCCGCAACGAGCGCAACCCUCACCUCUUGUUGCCAUCAGGUCAUGCUGGGCACUCUAGAGGAACUGCCCCGGUCAACGGGGAGGAAGGCGGGGAUGACGUCAAGUCAUCAUGCCCCUUACGUCCUGGGCUACACACGUGCUACAAUGGCCGGUACAAAGGGAUGCCACACCGCGAGGUAGAGCUAAACCCAAAAAAGCCGGUCUAAGUUCAGAUUGGAGUCUGCAACUCGACUCCCAUGAAGGAGGAAUCGCUUAGUAAUCGC
Molecule: ribosomal RNA, 289 nt
Filed under: uncultured Methylomirabilota bacterium
Lineage: Bacteria; Methylomirabilota (SeqCode)
Description: uncultured candidate division NC10 bacterium partial 16S ribosomal RNA
Rfam family: Bacterial small subunit ribosomal RNA
Source: RNAcentral